Molecule: ribosomal RNA, 253 nt
Filed under: uncultured bacterium
Lineage: Bacteria
Description: partial 16S ribosomal RNA
Rfam family: Bacterial small subunit ribosomal RNA
Source: RNAcentral
UACGUAGGGUGCGAGCGUUAAUCGGAAUUACUGGGCGUAAAGCGUGCGCAGGCGGUGAUGUAAGACAGAUGUGAAAUCCCCGGGCUCAACCUGGGAACUGCAUUUGUGACUGCAUCGCUGGAGUGCGGCAGAGGGGGAUGGAAUUCCGCGUGUAGCAGUGAAAUGCGUAGAUAUGCGGAGGAACACCGAUGGCGAAGGCAAUCCCCUGGGCCUGCGCUGACGCUCAUGCACGAAAGCGUGGGGAGCAAACAGG